This 532-nucleotide ribosomal RNA is filed under the name Mesopodagrion tibetanum. Its description in RNAcentral is "partial 16S ribosomal RNA". It matches the Rfam family "Bacterial large subunit ribosomal RNA", at positions 1831 to 2619 of the family's 2925-position model. Lineage: Eukaryota; Metazoa; Arthropoda; Insecta; Odonata; Megapodagrionidae. The record is from RNAcentral.
GUCUUCUCGUUUAUUUGGGAAGUCUGACCUGCCCGGUGAUAAUUAUUUUAACGGCCGCGGUAUUUUGACCGUGCAAAGGUAGCAUAAUCAUUAGUCUUUUAAUAGGAGGCUGGAAUGAAAGGUUUGACGUAAUAUUGACUGUCUCAUUUUAAUAUAUUAAAACUUAAUUUUUAAGUGAAAAAGCUUAAAUUUUAUUGGAAGACGAGAAGACCCUAUAGAGCUUUAUAAUCAUUUUAAUAAAUAUUUUUAGAUUAUUAUUUAAUAUUAUUUUAAGAAUUAUUUUGUUGGGGUGAUAAGAAAUAUAAAUUUAACUUUUCUAUUUAUAAACCAUUUAUUUAUGAUUAUUAGAUCCAUUAUUAGUGAUUAUUAGAGUAAGUUACCUUAGGGAUAACAGCGUAAUCUUCUUUCAGAGUUCAAAUUUACAAGAAGGCUUGCGACCUCGAUGUUGGAUUAAGAUAAUAAAUAGGUGUAGCAGCUUAUUUUAUAGGUCUGUUCGACCUUUAAAUUCUUACAUGAUCUGAGUUCAGACCGG